RNAcentral lists this ribosomal RNA (497 nucleotides) under uncultured bacterium. RNAcentral describes it as "partial 16S ribosomal RNA". It matches the Rfam family "Bacterial small subunit ribosomal RNA", at positions 28 to 507 of the family's 1533-position model. The record is from RNAcentral.
GAUGAACGCUGGCGGCGUGCCUAAUACAUGCGAGUCGAGCGAACAGACGAGGAGCUUGCUCCUCUGACGUUAGCGGCGGACGGGUGAGUAACACGUGGAUAACCUACCUAUAAGACUGGGAUAACUUCGGGAAACCGGAGCUAAUACCGGAUAAUAUAUUGAACCGCAUGGUUCAAUAGUGAAAGACGGUUUUGCUGUCACUUAUAGAUGGAUCCGCGCCGCAUUAGCUAGUUGGUAAGGUAACGGCUUACCAAGGCGACGAUGCGUAGCCGACCUGAGAGGGUGAUCGGCCACACUGGAACUGAGACACGGUCCAGACUCCUACGGGAGGCAGCAGUAGGGAAUCUUCCGCAAUGGGCGAAAGCCUGACGCAGCAACGCCGCGUGUGUGAUGAAGGUCUUCGGAUCGUAAAACUCUGUUAUUAGGGAAGAACAAAUGUGUAAGUAACUAUGCACGUCUUGACGGUACCUAAUCAGAAAGCCACGGCUAACUACGUG